AUUGAACGCUGGCGGCAGGCCUAACACAUGCAAGUCGAACGGUAACAGGAAGAAGCUUGCUUCUUUGCUGACGAGUGGCGGACGGGUGAGUAAUGUCUGGGAAACUGCCUGAUGGAGGGGGAUAACUACUGGAAACGGUAGCUAAUACCGCAUAACGUCGCAAGACCAAAGAGGGGGACCUUCGGGCCUCUUGCCAUCGGAUGUGCCCAGAUGGGAUUAGCUAGUAGGUGGGGUAACGGCUCACCUAGGCGACGAUCCCUAGCUGGUCUGAGAGGAUGACCAGCCACACUGGAACUGAGACACGGUCCAGACUCCUACGGGAGGCAGCAGUGGGGAAUAUUGCACAAUGGGCGCAAGCCUGAUGCAGCUAUGCCGCGUGUAUGAAGAAGGCCUUCGGGUUGUAAAGUACUUUCAGCGGGGAGGAAGGGAGUAAAGUUAAUACCUUUACUCAUUGACGUUACCCGCAGAAGAAGCACCGGCUAACUCCGUG
Molecule: ribosomal RNA, 490 nt
Filed under: uncultured bacterium
Lineage: Bacteria
Description: partial 16S ribosomal RNA
Rfam family: Bacterial small subunit ribosomal RNA
Source: RNAcentral